ACCUAUGCCUCCAUUUUUUCCUGCUGUGGACAACCUUUGAGUUCCCUGGGCCUGUUUAUGCCAUGGAGUUUUUCUUUCUAGGGCCACAGCCUGAAGCUUGGAAUCGAGUUUGGGACUGAAAAGAGUACCAUCAUCGACAGAAGCAAAAGUCCUUAUCUGCUGAAAUCUUUAUUGACAUACUUAAGUGGCGAAAUAAUAUGUCAGGGUUUUACUUUAAAAUACUUCAGGAUCAAAAACAGAGGGAAAAUAGAGAAAGCUUACUCAUUGGAAUUCUAAGGACAGCUCCAGUUAACAUGAAAGUAAAAAUAAAAACCCAGAAAACCUUUUGGACAGAUUACAACAAAGAAGAAUUCUGAUACCUCUUGUAGAUUCAUUUUCCACCCCAAAGAUUAGGUAACAAAGGAGAUGUGGGAGAGAAAGAAACAAAAUGGGAGAGAAAUUGAGAUAAGAGAGGACCAUGUGAAGGAGGUGAAGUAUUUAAAGUGGAAAGGAGGAAAAUAACCUGAACUCUUAACUGCUCUUGAAAGUUCACUCUGUCUUCACUCCAGCUCUAUUGACUGAUUACCUGUAGCCCACUUGCUAUUCAACAGUCUUUAUCAAAGACAGAUCACUUGGAUACUUUUGUAUGAGUGGUGUCACAAAAAGACAUCUUGAGCCACCAAAUAAGGUGCAAUAUACAAACCAGAAGUCCCAUUCAGCCCAGUAUUUGUUCUCAAAUGUCAUAAAUGCUGUGGACAAGAAACUUUGCACAACCAGAA
Molecule: long non-coding RNA, 758 nt
Organism: Homo sapiens (human)
Lineage: Eukaryota; Metazoa; Chordata; Mammalia; Primates; Hominidae
Product: long intergenic non-protein coding RNA 2264
Source: Ensembl